UACGAAGGGUGCGAGCGUUGUUCGGAAUUAUUGGGCGUAAAGCGCACGUAGGCGGCCUUGUAAGUCUCACUGUGAAAGCCCGGGGCUCAACCCCGGGAGGCCAGGGGAUACUGCGAGGCUCGAGACAAGUAGAGGUUGGUAGAAUUCCGGGUGUAGCGGUGGAAUGCGUAGAGAUCCGGAGGAAUACCAGAGGCGAAGGCGGCCAACUGGGCUUGUUCUGACGCUGAGGUGCGAAAGCGUGGGGAGCGAACAGG
This 254-nucleotide ribosomal RNA is filed under the name uncultured bacterium. Its description in RNAcentral is "partial 16S ribosomal RNA". It matches the Rfam family "Bacterial small subunit ribosomal RNA", at positions 524 to 776 of the family's 1533-position model. The record is from RNAcentral.